UCCGGUCAUUCGGUUUAUCACGGCGUGUCAGCGCCGGAUGUGACUCGCGAUGUGAGAUUUCGUUACGUCAGGGAGAAGAAAACGUCGUUUCGUCAGACGUAUAUCGUACUACUGUAUUUUUUAGCCAAAGUGUUUUUUGCGACAAGCUCUUAAAAAAUGAGUAUGUGUUAAAGAAAAAUGCACUUUCAUCCUCGUUAAUUUGACAAUUCCAGACUGGCAUAUUCCUACUUUCGCGUGAAAGAAAUUAAUGCAGAAAUAAUUCUCUUGAAAUUUCAAUCAAAUUAUUAAUAACACGUGUACUAAUAUUCGCGAAUUUUACGAAGAUUUAGUUUUGAAUCAUUUAAGAGACGCUUUCCACAAAGACAAAAUUUAUAUUAGCAACUUUGCAAGAAGCUUGAAAAAAUCAUUGCUAUAUGAACAGUUGAAUGCCACCUCAAUUAGCACGCGAUGGCGAAUAACGUGAUGGUAAACAAAUUACGUGGAUUUCGUUGAGUCAUUAUCAAUUUUAAGUCAAACAUUUAUUCGUGACGAGCUGCUUUUUACAAAUCUUGCUUUAGGCCUCUGAUAAGAAAUUAGAAUCACGCCAAGAAAUUCAAGAUUCAAUGUAAAUUUGAAAUUGCAUUUGUUCAGAUUCGCAUCUUGACAAACGAAGUGUCACAAAUGCCUUUACUUCCAAUUGACACGGCUCAAUAGGAACAGAAACCUGACUCUUAUGUUGAUUGGAAAAUUUUGAAUCAGAAUCGAAAUUUUGGAAAUCCACACGCUUCGAUGAAUAACGCGCUUAUGGGAGUCGCGCCUUAAUUGAUAUCUCUGACGAGCGAUCGAGGAUGCCGGUCGUCGGUGGGAACAAUGUUUGAAGCAAUUACGCGAUUCUCGUAAAGCACGACGGUUCGUAUUACACACUCAGGAGGACUCCUCCCAAGAAUCGGAUGACAGGCGACGAAAGAACCAAGCAUUUUUCGUAUAAUUUUGAGGAGCCGCGUGUAAAACGCGCCAUGACGGUGAUCGCGCGGUCGCAUACAUUGGCAGGUGCGAAACAGAUGGCCCGAUAAUACAACAACCAGACACCUUGCGCGUCGCGUCGUCGCUCUCGGACGAACCCGGACAUUCACGUUGAAAAGGCAUAUCGCGUCAGUCAUAAAAGCAAUCUGGUAUUAUCGAAUCGACGAGAAUCAUCGGAGAAACUUGAUCUCCGGAUCAACGUCGAUCGGAAUCCGGCAUGGGUAAUUACAGAUGGACUAACCUUGAUGAAGCAAUCGUUGAAGGACAAAUUGUGCCUUAAAGAAUUCUGCCACCGUCGCGUGUCCUUUCUGUAGUACGGGAAGCGGUCGGCGAUGAAUUUGUAAAUCUCGGCAAGCGGCAGCAUCUUGUCCCUCGACGACCAUAUCGCCAUCGCCGUUAACGAUAUAUAUGAGUACGGCGGUUUCUGAUCACCAUUUGCGCCGAUACUCGUUCGCCAGCAUCCUCCAGAUCACGAACCGGCGGCGGGAGCACCGGAAUAGGAGCUGCUUUCCGAGGACGAGGAUCUCCAUCGGACCCAACCACGGAAUCCCGCGGUCGGCCGAGGCCCGAGCCCACGCUGUUGUCGCGCACGUAUCACAAUAUAUCACAACAAUCCGGACAACGAUUUAGACUUGAACACUGUUCCGAUCCCGACAAAUCCUCGUUACGUUAUUCCGCAAUUAAGGGAAAAGACCUCCGGGAGCGCACGCUCAGGCACGCCGAGUACCCGCGAUCGCGUCUCCGCGGAUACUGCGGCCGAUCUAUACCCACACCCCCGCAACGGGCUUCCCCUACCCGUAGCCUCGCAGCAUCGCUGUGUCCCGGAUUGGAGGCAGUCGCGGAUCGCGUUCUCGGCCGGUUCUCGCUCCCGCUUCGUAUAAACACCUCUGUCCAAUGGCGCAGUGGCUCUCCCACCUUCUCGAAGGAGUUUCCACGACGCGAAUAGGGCGUCGUCUAUCUAUUCGAGCGGAUAUCGAGGGCGGGUUUCUCUCUCAACACCGCUGCUUUAGACCACCUCCCUCGAACGAACGGGAACAACCAAUGCGUCAGCCAAUCCGAUCGAGUAUCGCGAUCGACCUCGCGCGCGCGUUCACCGAUACCGCGUAUGCACCGUCGAAGUACAGCACCGGGUACAUUACUACUCAUCCCAGCGGGUAGGACGGACUGGGUAGGACGAAGAAAGAAGAGUCCUGUCUUCCGUCGCGGAUCGAUCCGCCAGCGUACUUUCGUUCUGAGGAUUGAAAGCGAUGUAAUUUCACGUUGAGUCUCGUUCUCUUGUAUUGAGACGGGAGUGUCUGGAUUUGUUUGGAGAGCUAAAAGAUAAAAGAUGACAACAAUAGCGCCGUUGCUACUUGAAAUUAAAAGUGGACGUAUCCUUUUUGAAAUAACUCGAGAUUUACUGAGCAAAGGUUAAUUUCUGAUAAUAAAGUUAAGCGAAAAAAAAGAUUAUUGCGAACAUUAUCGCGUAGUUCCAACAAUCAUAUCUGGCUGGUUUUUAGCAAUUAGCAAUUUUCAACCCCAUCUCGAUCAACCACGCGAGUAUCAGUGCAAUUGUUUAGUAUUAUUAGCGAUUUUACAUUGCUUAUCGAGAGAACAUAGGAUCAAUCUUUUUUCGUACUUAAUAUGAUCAAACAUAAUCUUGAUCGACGACCGGCGACGAACCCAAAGGUAACGAAAAGAAAGGGGUGGGAGAAGAUAAACACCAAUCAGAGCAAAGCGUCUUCUUCGCCUGUAGUUUGUUGGCAAGAGGCGUGUCGCUACGCCUCGUGUCUCACCGACAAAAUGGCAAUUCUCGUUGUUCAUAUAAUGUAUACUAUGCUUCACGUUCAUAUGAACAAAUCGGCCAGAGGCAUUUUCGAAAGGUAUGCAUUACAUCUAGAUAGGUACAAAAAAUUCAUAAUAUAGAAAAUAGACAGCUCACAAUAUACAUAUAUAAAUGGAGUGGCUGGCAUUUAACACUUGUAAUAAUUCAAAUAGUAAGUACCUUAAAUAAGAUAAGUACAUAUUUAUUUUUUCUUUCCAUAUCAAAUUUAAAAAAGAGAGAAUUUUAUCUCCUGCUAUAAAUUUAAAAUUAAACAAAAGUAAAAUUUUCUUUAAUCGGUUUUAUAUUGACAGAAUUUUGAGAAAUUUAUAGGGAUAUGUAAUCAGAAAUAGGAAAAUAUGAUAAAUAAUAUAAUUUCUAUUGCUAAGGAAAAACCUACUUCAUAUUGUUUAAAUCUGUUAUAAUUAAAAUAUCACAGAUUUUGAGAAGAAUAUACUUCAUAUAUAUAUUCAUGUAUAUGUUCAUAUUUAAUAAUUUUUUUAAAUUUAUGUUUCUGUUUUUUUCUUUUUAUGUCGUAUGAGAAAGCUCUAUUAACUGCUGUGUUAAAUAUAAGUCUUAUUUUUCAUUCCAUUACUAUGAGAGGACAUUUUUUGUGUGAGCCACGCACUAGGCCCUACUAAAGCAAGACAUCCAAAUUUAUUUUAGAUACAAUUGAUUGGAUU
Molecule: long non-coding RNA, 3486 nt
Organism: Cataglyphis hispanica
Lineage: Eukaryota; Metazoa; Arthropoda; Insecta; Hymenoptera; Formicidae
Exons: 6
Source: RefSeq, a predicted model, not a curated record